CCUGACCACCUUGGCAGCCAGUACAUAAACCAAAAGGGGUACUUUUCAAUGGUGGUACAAGCACUGGUGGAUCACAAGGGACGUUUCACCAACAUCAACCUGGGAUGGCCGGGAAAAGAGCAUGACGCUCGCAACUUCAGGAACUCUGGUGUGCAUAGAGAUGGGGAGUACUUGUGGCACCUUAGAGACUAAC
Molecule: long non-coding RNA, 193 nt
Organism: Dermochelys coriacea (leatherback sea turtle)
Lineage: Eukaryota; Metazoa; Chordata; Testudines; Dermochelyidae
Exons: 4
Source: RefSeq, a predicted model, not a curated record